GACCACUCCGGUAGCCUAGUGGUUAGAGUGUCCGACUCGGAUGCGGGAGGUCGUGGGUUCGAUCCUCUGCCGAGUCA
This is a non-coding RNA of Potamilus streckersoni, 77 nucleotides long. The record is from the annotation of a GenBank genome assembly. Lineage: Eukaryota; Metazoa; Mollusca; Bivalvia; Unionida; Unionidae.